AGUCGAGCGCACCUUCGGGUGAGCGGCGGACGGGUUAGUAACGCGUGGGAACAUACCCUUUGGUACGGAAUAGCCUCUGGAAACGGAGAGUAAUACCGUAUGAGCCCUUCGGGGGAAAGAUUUAUCGCCAAAGGAUUGGCCCGCGUUAGAUUAGGUAGUUGGUGGGGUAAUGGCCUACCAAGCCUACGAUCUAUAGCUGGUUUUAGAGGAUGAUCAGCAACACUGGGACUGAGACACGGCCCAGACUCCUACGGGAGGCAGCAGUGGGGAAUCUUGGACAAUGGGGGCAACCCUGAUCCAGCCAUGCCGCGUGAGUGAUGAAGGCCUUAGGGUCGUAAAGCUCUUUCGCCUGUGAAGAUAAUGACGGUAGCAGGUAAAGAAACCCCGGCUAACUCCGUGCCAGCAGCCGCGGUAAUACGGAGGGGGUUAGCGUUGUUCGGAAUUACUGGGCGUAAAGCGCACGUAGGCGGACUGGAAAGUUGGGGGUGAAAUCCCAGGGCUCAACCCUGGAACUGCCUCCAAAACUAUCAGUCUAGAGUUCGAGAGAGGUGAGUGGAAUUCCGAGUGUAGAGGUGAAAUUCGUAGAUAUUUCGGAGGAACACCAGUGGCGAAGGCGGCUCACUGGCUCGAUACUGACGCUGAGGUGCGAAAGUGUGGGGAGCAAACAGGAUUAGAUACCCUGG
RNAcentral lists this ribosomal RNA (683 nucleotides) under Ruegeria sp. AU564. RNAcentral describes it as "bacterial SSU rRNA". It matches the Rfam family "Bacterial small subunit ribosomal RNA", at positions 60 to 790 of the family's 1533-position model. Lineage: Bacteria; Pseudomonadati; Pseudomonadota; Alphaproteobacteria; Rhodobacterales; Roseobacteraceae. The record is from RNAcentral.